UACAGAACUGCAGCCCUCCAGCUGUUGGUCAACCACAGCUUCCCAGCAUCCACCAACAGCCUCCAGCCACUGAGGUUGCGGAGAGUUUUAGUUAACAAACCAUAUUCCUAAACUCUAAGUCAUUAAGACAUCUACUGGGUCUGUGUAAUGCUUGUGCAACAGGUUUUAGCCUUUGGCUCAACCAGCCCUGCAUGGUAUCCAGACUCAUACUACAAGACUUGCCAUGCACCUGGUAUCCCACAUUCUAUUGAAUGUCUGAAGGACUGCAACUGCAGAAAAUGAAGAAGAGAAGCUACAGAUGAUGCACCAUGCACCUGCCAAUGUAGUCAAUCCAUUUGGACGAUUAAUCUGAGACCAACAGGAUUACAGAGAAGAAGCAGACUAGUAAUGCUCUGCAGACAACAAGCUGUGAAGCACUGAGUAGGAACAACGCCCUACACCUCACUGAAAUUACCAAGGAUCCGCCCUUGAGCUGACACUGGAAUGCAUCAUGUGUUUAUGCUUGUUCUUUAAAGCCUGUCAACAUUCUUCAAAUAAUAAAUGUUAGUGCCUAUGAAGACCAGAGAGAGGACACAUCAAGGCCUGAAGUAGUUCUUGCAUAAAUUGAUUGUUACACCGGCAUGAUAGAUGUCUGGGUAUCAGCCAAAUAGGGCAGGUCAUUGUAUGCCAAUUUGGUCACCAUCUUACUUUGCCUCAUGUAUGAUCAGCUUUGAAGAAGAGGGUGGACUGAUAAUGCAGGAAGGCUGCAGCCCCCAUUUGAAUGAGUGGCAUCCGUAAUAUACUCAAUAACUCACGUAGUGUAACCAAAUGUUUACAAGUUGUUGAACUUCAACUUCCAGCAAGCACCAACAGAUUUUGGAUUUUAGAGGAACCUAAUUCAGGCCUAUGGGCAUUGAACUCCUCACUCUCUCUAAACAGUAUAUGAUAAAGACACAAAUGAUCUAGAGCCCAGUGCCCUUCCCCUAAAGCUUGUAGACCCCAGAAUAGCAGCAUAGUCCUGCCUCAGAUAACAUAGAUUAUUCUAUACCAACAGCCCUACUUUUUUUCAUUUUUGAUCUAGAAUAUUCAAACAAAGCAUAUCAAAGUGUUUCCUAUUUUAAUACACCUGUUAUACAGAAUGCUCAGGUCUGGAUAACUUAUCUUUCUGUAAUUUCGAUCUUCAUACCUUAAAUCUA
Molecule: long non-coding RNA, 1175 nt
Organism: Xenopus laevis (African clawed frog)
Lineage: Eukaryota; Metazoa; Chordata; Amphibia; Anura; Pipidae
Exons: 3
Source: RefSeq, a predicted model, not a curated record